This 253-nucleotide ribosomal RNA is filed under the name uncultured bacterium. RNAcentral's name for it is "partial 16S ribosomal RNA". It matches the Rfam family "Bacterial small subunit ribosomal RNA", at positions 524 to 776 of the family's 1533-position model. The record is from RNAcentral.
UACGUAGGGGGCAAGCGUUGUCCGGAUUUAUUGGGCGUAAAGAGCGUGUAGGCGGCCAGGUAGGUCUGCUGUGAAAACUCGAGGCUUAACCUCGAGAUGUCGGCGGAAACCAUCUGGCUAGAGUCCGGAAGAGGAAAGUGGAAUUCCUGGUGUAGCGGUGAAAUGCGCAGAUAUCAGGAAGAACACCCGUGGCGAAGGCGGUUCUCUAGUACGGUACUGACGCUGAGACGCGAAAGCGUGGGGAGCGAACAGG